This 468-nucleotide ribosomal RNA is filed under the name uncultured bacterium. RNAcentral describes it as "partial 16S ribosomal RNA". It matches the Rfam family "Bacterial small subunit ribosomal RNA", at positions 28 to 507 of the family's 1533-position model. The record is from RNAcentral.
GACGAACGCUGGCGGCGUGCUUAACACAUGCAAGUCGAACGGAAAGGCCCUGCUUUUGUGGGGUGCUCGAGUGGCGAACGGGUGAGUAACACGUGAGUAACCUGCCCUUGACUUUGGGAUUACUUCGGGAAACUGGGGCUAAUACCGGAUAGGAGCUCCUGCUGCAUGGUGGGGGUUGGAAAGUUUCGGCGGUUGGGGAUGGACUCGCGGCUUAUCAGCUUGUUGGUGGGGUAGUGGCUUACCAAGGCUUUGACGGGUAGCCGGCCUGAGAGGGUGACCGGCCACAUUGGGACUGAGAUACGGCCCAGACUCCUACGGGAGGCAGCAGUGGGGAAUAUUGCACAAUGGGCGGAAGCCUGAUGCAGCAACGCCGCGUGCGGGAUGACGGCCUUCGGGUUGUAAACCGCUUUCGCCUGUGACGAAGCGUGAGUGACGGUAAUGGGUAAAGAAGCACCGGCUAACUACGUG